GCCGGAUGGACAAAUAAAAGCCCGAGAUUUAGAGCGGGACUAGGACACGGGGAGCGUUUAAUACACGCAAACUUAAAUGGUCCCAACUUUGGGACUUUAGGAACCGCCUAAGAGAACAAACGGGCCCGAGAAGUUCCUGCAAUGCUGUUAUGAGGACAGAUUGACUGGUACCCACCCCUACCCGCCAAGCCCCAUAGCUACCAGCCCGGGGACUGGGUCCUGAUCCGCAGACACCAAUGCAGGACCUUGGAGCCAAGAUGGAAAGUGCCCUAUGUUAUCCUGACCACACCCACCGCUCUCCAGGUGGACCGCCUUGCAGCCUGGAUCCACCACUCCCACGCCCGACUGGCAGACCCUUUCGCCCUUCCAGAGGACGCCAGGACGAGACCUGGGAGGCCUCUGAAACACCCCUCCAACCCGCUAAAGCUCAAGCUCCAACGCCAAAGAACAUGAAGCCCGUCCUGCUUCUGCUGCUUCUGCUCGUGAAAGCUUCCCACGGGGCAGGUCACUCCAACAACCCUCAUGCGCCAUGGAACCAGACCUGGCUGGUAGUCAACGCGGAAACUGGCGUCAUUGCCAAUUCCAGCUCCUCGAUCGGAGAACAUAAGGACCCCUGGUUCCCGGACUUGUAUGUGGACCUUUGUGAUCUGGUAGGAGAGGAGGCGUGGGACCCAUCAGACCAGGAACCUUUUCCCGGGUACGGGUGUGCUUCUCCUGGCCAGAGAAAGAGAACUAGGGAGCAACAUUUUUAUGUAUGCCCUGGACAUUUCAGGAGCCGGGACCAAGUUAAAAAAUGUGGGGGCCCAGGGUCAGUCUAUUGUGCCGCGUGGGAUUGCGUAAGCACGGGGUAUAUUUGGUGGGAGGCCCCGAUAAAAACUGAUUUGAUUACUGUGGGCCGGGGGGACAGAAGUAUGCUAGGAACAGGGAAAUGUCAACAAAAUAGCAGAUAGGUAGACUGCGGCCCUUGUUAUGAUAAGGAACGCUUCCCCAAUCAUCCAUGGGCAACCCCUGGAGGUCGCUGCAACUCCCUGAUAAUUAGGUUUACUGAAAAAGGAAAAAAAGCCAACUGGACCGCUGGGAAAACGUGGGGGUUGCGGCUAUACCGUUCGGGGUAUGACCCUAAACUUACUUUCACCAUCCGGCGCACUCUGUCCCCAGUAAAAACCUCAGUGGGGCCCAACAUAGUACUGAACCCCCAACCAAAGCGCAUUGUGCCAGGGGACACAGCACUGCCACUGAAUCUGACCAUACCACUAUGAAGCCCAGCCACAUAGAGUCCCUGCUGUUCUCCCUGUUCCAAAAAUCCUUUCUGCUUCUUAAUGCCACUAGGGCCCAAUUUAACAGCCUCUCGUUGGCUCUGCUAUGAUACACAACCGCCUCCUUAACACUCCAACAGGUGGAGGGCCAAGGCUUAUGCAUAGGACAAGUUCCACUGGAAUAUCAGGUCCACUGCAAUGGUACUGAGCCACUUGGGAACCAGACGACACCUGGUGGGCGUGUUCCUCUGGGCUGACUCCAUGUGCACACCUCACGUCCUUAAUAAGACCCGGGGGUUUUGUCUAUGAGUCAGACUCGUGCCCCGGCUGAUACAUCUCACACCGAGGAAGACCUGCCUGACCUAAUGGAGCCUAUCAGCCCCGGCCGCUGUCAGAGAGAACCAGUUACAGCCCCCACUCUAUCUGUGCUACUGGGGACUAGCUUAGUGAGACUGGGGACCGGGGCUGCGUCCCUGAUCGCUCCACAGCAGCGUUACUCCAGCCUCCGCCUUUCCCUCGAGGAGGACAGAGAGACACUAGAAAACUCCAUCUCACACCCCCAGGACUCCUUAUCCUCCCCGGCAGAGGUGGUCACACAAAACAGGAGAAGGCGAGAUCUUAUUUUCCUGAAGGGAAAAAAGGUUAUGUGCCGCCCUAGGUGAGGAAUGCUGUUUCUAUGGAGACCACUCAGGAGAAUCAGUGGCCAGAGUAGAGGAGGGCUGGCAAAACAAAAAGGAGAACAUGAAGCCAACCAAAGCUGGUUCUGGAGUUGGUACUCCACAUCCCCCGGCUUGCUACUCUGGUCUCAUCCCUCAAAGGGCCCGUAAUACUCUUAUUAGUGGCCAUCGCCUUCGGAUGUCAUAAAUAAACUGCUCCGAUAUAUGAGGGAACGACUAGGUACGGGCCAGCUUAUGGUACAGAGAGGGUAUACACCACUAAAUACCACCGAAUUCAAGUUAUAUGCUGACCCUAGGGAAGAUGGGAAAGAGUCCCAUGAGUAGGAGCUAGUUAGGGGCCCAUGACUGAACCCCAUUAGGAUCAAAGAAAGGGAGGACUAUGAGGCCUCUGUAAGACCCCUACUCUAUUCUCCAGAGAGGAAAAAGCUUAGGCAAGGAUAUCUUAAUAUUCUGGACACCCUCUGUCUUCGGUGGUCUCUCUGGGGGUCGUGAUCUGGGCAGAACACUGUAAAUGCAUAUGCAUCUAUAUCACACACAAAUCUUUUAACAAAUGUGGCCUGUACACUCUAUCUUUUGUGGGGUGCUGAUGAUUGUAUGUAGUGGCCCUGUGGUGGUUUGGAUGAGAAUGGCCCCCCAUGAGCUCCUUUAUUUGAGUGUUUGGUUCCUCCUUGGUGGAACUACUACGUUUUGGGAAGGGUUAGGAGGUGUGGCCUUGUUGGAGGUGUGUCACUGGGGGAUGGGCUUUUAAGGUUUCAAAAGCCCAAACCAGGCCAGGUAUCUCUCUGCCUCCUGCUUGUGGGUCACAUGUGAGCUCUCUGCUACUGCUCAAGUGCCAUGCCAUGCCUGCCUGCCGCCAUGCUCCCUGCCGUGAUGGUCACAGGCUCACCCUCUGAAACCGAGCAAAGCUCCUAAUCGGAUGCUUUCUUGUAUAAGUUGCCUCGGUCACCAUGUCUCACAGCAAUGGACCGGUGACUAAGACAGGCUUUGUCUAUCUAUACAUAUGCCAUCACUGAGCCACACCCCCAGACCAACUGUAUAUUUGUCAUCAAAUUUUAAAACCUGAAUCUUCCUCCCCCUUCCGUCCCCCAGCUGAGGACCGAACCCAGGGCCUUGCACUUCGCCCUACCACUGAGCUAAACCCCCAACCCCUAAAACCUGAAUCUUAAGAUGAUAAAAUUUAUCUAAAAGACAAUUGAGAGGUCUGUGUUUUCUUUUUGUUUUGUCUUGUUUUUUCGAGACAGGGUUUCUCUGUGUAGCCCUGGCUGUCCUGGAACUCACUCUGUAGAUUAGGCUGGCCUUGAACUCACAGAGAUCUGCCUGUCUCUGCCUCCCGAAUGCUGGGAUUAAAAGUGUGUGCCACCACUGCCUGGCAAGAGGUCUGUAUUUUCUAAAAUGAUAUAAUCCUCACAUAAUAAAAAAAAAUACAGAC
Molecule: long non-coding RNA, 3362 nt
Organism: Peromyscus maniculatus bairdii (prairie deer mouse)
Lineage: Eukaryota; Metazoa; Chordata; Mammalia; Rodentia; Cricetidae
Source: RefSeq, a predicted model, not a curated record